Molecule: long non-coding RNA, 938 nt
Organism: Equus quagga
Lineage: Eukaryota; Metazoa; Chordata; Mammalia; Perissodactyla; Equidae
Exons: 2
Source: RefSeq, a predicted model, not a curated record
CUACCGACUUCUGGGCGUCUGCCUCCGCUGGCCCUUUAUCUCCAGCCGUGGUCUUCCCCUUUUCUUCUCUUCGGGCUCCGGGUCCAGCUCCUCCUUUUCCUCCUGCGACCCAAGCAUCUUGACCUGGCGUCACCCACGGCACUGUCUCCAUGAAUCAUAGGUCGCAAACUCCAUCGUCUUGGAGAGGGCAGGACUCGGCAGUGCUCACAGGAGGUUGGGCCACCAAGGGAAGCUCCUACUUCAGGAUUUGAGCCCAAUCAUUUACAGCUAAUGAAGGGCUUUGGGCUCCACUGUGUGAUUGAAUUCUGAGCUACCUGUGAGGAACCCAGACUCAGAGGUGACUGCCUUGCCCAGGGUCACACAGUGACCCACGAGGUUGUCAGGAAUGGGCCUGGUGUGGCUGAAGAAGGAGACCCCACCUGUCAAGACUGCUCAGAGUGGGCAGCUGGUUACGUUUCCUAGCCCUGUUCUUGAAGCCCUUCCGUCUCUCUCUAACCAUCAGGGUCACUCUGUCCCCAGGUUGUCACAAGAAACUAUUGGAGCUACUAUGUCCUGGAGUUGUUUUUGCCCUGCCCUGCCAGCCCCAGAGGAAUGCUUCCCUGGCACCUCUCUGGGCUGGGAGAUGGGUCCCCCCCCUUUGUGGCAGGGAGCAUGACAGUCUGUCAGGGAGAGACUCUCCUCCUCUCCUGAUGUAGGAAUUCCCUGGGAGCAACUGAGGGUCGGGGGCAGAAAUGGUAGGUUAAUUGGCAGCAGGUGAUGCCCCGGGGGCUCCUCAUUCAUUCAUUCCACAAAGAUUUAUUAAGCGCUUACUAUGUACCAGGCACUGUUCUAGGCACUGGGGAUACAGUCAUGAGCUAGCAGACAAUGCCUCUCCCUUGUGGAGCUAAUAUUCUAGUGAAAAGAGACAGACAAUAAAGAACAGACAUAUGUAAAUCAUA